This 16071-nucleotide long non-coding RNA is filed under the name Triticum aestivum (bread wheat). Its description in RNAcentral is "long non-coding RNA (TAES_LNC023946)". The record is from RNAcentral. Lineage: Eukaryota; Viridiplantae; Streptophyta; Magnoliopsida; Poales; Poaceae.
UUUUUUUUAACGUUCAGGGGGCUGGGCCCCCCCUGUCAUAGGCCCCAGGGGCCGUGGCGGGUUGGUCACUAGCGGGUGCGGGCAACGGGUGCAACGCCCGACCCGAACGGGCGCACGCCCAGGUGCAAGCGGACCCGGGAGGGCACCGGAACAGGGGAGGCCGGUGGCCACGGCGUGGCCAUGGCCGGAGCGGGGCGAGGCCGCGGUGGUGCGCGGGCGGCCGCCGGAGGCCGUAUGGGCGGCAGCCGGAGGCGGCGCUCGGUUGCGGCCCAGCAGGAGCUGCGGCAAUGGCCGCGGGGAGGCCAGGCCGGAGCCGCAGGGGGAGGCGGGCGGUGACCGGAGGUGGCGCAGAGGGGCGAGGCCGAGAACGCUGCCUACGCUAACAGCAGGCAGUGGCCGGGGUUCGGUCCCGCGGCAAAGGGCGCCAGGGACGGCCUAAUCGGGCAAGGGGAGGGGGAAAAUGGACGGCGGCUCGUAGUGGAGCUUGUUGAAGUCUCGACGAGGCCGAAGUUCGUUGGGGAGGGGCGGAUCGAGCGGCGACGACCGACAGAUGCAUCCGGGAGAGGAGGUCGAGGGCGACGGCUUUGAGGCCCCCCCGGCCCGGUCCAGUGCCAUGAUGAGGCACCCGGGAUGGGCAACGGCCGACGAGCGCCGGGCUGCGAACCUGGCCCCGACGCGGCCAGGCGCGCGGGCAAGGAGGCAAGGGCGUGCGAGGCGAUGGCGAGCCGCGAGAUGGCGGCUGGUCUCCGGCAAGGGCGGCCGGCGCGAGGUGCGGCAGAGGAGGUUGGCGAGGUCGCCGACGAGAGGUAGGAGGCGCACGGGGCGGUGACGGCGACGGGGCCGUGCCCCGAUCCAGAUCGGGUCGGGGGAGGAGACGAGGGAGCGAGAGGGGUUGUGGGGGCGCGAGUGGGAGGGUGUGGCGCUAGGGUUUGGUGGUGGAGCGGGUUAGCAGCCCAGCGGGGGUUCGGCGCGGGUGGGCUGGCCAGAUGGCCUAGCUGGGCCAAGGCCCAGCGGGGGGAGGGGGUUCUUUGUUUUUUUUGUUUUAGUUCUGUUUUCUGUUUUGUAUUUUCUUUUCUUUUACUUAUUUUCAUUUUCUGUUUUAUUUAUUUUAGAGUAUUUCAGCAUUUUCUAAAAAUGUGUUUUCUUCACUAUAAUUACCUGUGCAAUAUUUGGCACAAUCCGAACAUUUUUGUCCUAAUGUUUGAAAACUUUGGUUGUUUGACAAAAAUUCAAAUUUCAAUUCGAAUCGUUUUGAACUAACGUGAGAUUAGCGACAGUAACAGAGGUGACGUGGCAUCUUUAGCAGAGGUUUACUGUAGCUUAAUUAUCCGGGCGUCACAAUUCUCCUCCACUACAAGAAUUCUCGUCCCGAGAUUUAAGAGGCGGAGUAAAGGGGAAAGACUAGGUUACGAAAUUCUAACGAUUCUUCUUGGCCUUGGUUGCCCUUUCGAAGAGGUUGAUCCCUUUCGUUGAUGUCUUCAUUUCUCUGCUUCAAGUCACCAUGAUCAAGUCGUCAUCCUUUCUUCGGGAACUCCAUCGUACUUACGAAAGAAUAAAGGGUGGUUAUUCCGGAAGAACGGACCUCUGCAAGGUUGACUACCUGGUAGCUAACAUCGGGGGAAGGUGGCGGAAAGUAACUCUCGAAUGGAAAUUUAAGACAAUAUCGAGAGCAAAGUAAGGAGGUAUCGUGGGGAAGUUUCGAGCGGGCAGGCAAUCGUUCGAUGCUUGAAGGGUUCAGAGCAACGGGAAUAAGUAUUGUGUCUGAUACCAAAAUUGAUGAUCUCACGAAAGGUGGCAUGUGAAUCACAUACGAAGCCAAGCGUGAGGAAUAACCUUGGGAACAGGGGUGUACAAGAGAGUCAGGUUUCGAUCCUGUGGAACUGUGGGUUAUGGGCCCACCAUGUGGUUUUUUUUAUAGGAGCAGUGACAUCUUGCACGGUCAUGAUAGCAAGGCAUGUCAGAGAGUACCCUGCCAGUUAUGUCGGCAACACGUUGGUACCAAGGGCGAGGGACGAAGAGAACCAAUUUUCCUGCUCGUUGAAACGAGGCGGACCAAUAGGCAAAGUUCUCAUCCAUCGGUGGCUACCGAAAUGUCAUCAACGAAAGUAACAUGGUCUACUGAGAGAGUGGUACAACGAGGUGCUCAACUAAGCAGGGAAUUAUCUCUACUCAGCUAAGUCAGAUUACAAGAAAGGUUAAACAAAACAAUGGAAAGGAAAAUAUGAUUAUCAGAGUAAACAGAAAAAAGGAAAGGAAAAUGUGUUUAAACACAUAUUUCAAGGGUAUAUGCUUCCCAAGGACAAGCAGAGCAUGAUAUCCAUGAUAGGAUAUAAUGUAGAAAACCCUUUAGGUAAGAGGAGAGAAAUUUCAUGACAUUACCCAUACAACGGUGUUUGGAUAAUUGAGCAGGAAACAAUUAGCUUUGGGCUUCAAAUGUUCCUGUUGAAAAUCGGAGUACCAUAGACAUGCUUCGAGAUAGCAUUGACAUGAUCUUCAGGCAAAGGACAGACUCUAGAUACACAAAGGACUUAUUAGGAACAACUUAUAGAAUAAGUCUUACAAUUUCCUCGUGAAAGAAUGGAUAACCUUGCAAAAAAGGAAACUAUAACGAUAGGUCCGCCGCCCAGGUGUACCGGGCAUGACAUCACCUUACCGGGUCAUGUGAAGACCAAUGUUAUAACUCUUUGAAAUAUGUCCCUACCAUCAUAUCUGACCGAGAUCCAGAUCUGAUUGGUGUCUCGAUACCUCAGACUUAGGAUGCCUGAGAAGAAAAGGUGCGACACAAUUUGACGAGAUGACAUUGUAAGAUUCUCGGGAAAUGAACUAUGGAAGCGAGUUCUGAAACAAGAGUCCCUCAGUAAACCAAUGAGAGGAUGAGGAGGUGGCUGAUGGAAUCAGCGACAAUUCAUCGAGAUUAACAAAAGAUGGAUUUCCACAACUAUGUGAACAAGGAGAUAACAUUUGUCAGAUCAAAUGGUAUAAUGAUGUAUGCUCGAGGAAAACAUACACAAUUAAACAUUGGUUGAAAGGGGCACCCGAAAUAUGGGCUGGGUUGCACGACCAACGUCGGAAUGGAAAUUUAGCAACCAGCACACUACAUUGGAAUUAUUGUCCAUUAACUCUGAAGUAACAAGGUUGCUAGAGAUAUUAAAUUCUCAUAACAGAGUUCACUCAACACGGGGACCAAGAGAAGAAUGAUGAUGGUGAGAAGCAUCAUUGUAUCAAGAAUUUCUUAAGAGGUGGUGAAACUCUCACGACAUUCUUGACAUAAAAGAUGGUAAUACUCCAGUGUAAAGAAGAACAAUUGCUGGGUUGCAAGGAACUCAAGGUAUAACACAAAACAAGAACAAGUUUGUGUUGGAGGAAAGGUAGUAGAGUGGUCGAUGAUAAUACUAAUCAUCGAGGGCAAGGAUGGUCUUUCUCAUCAUGAAUUCCAUUGAUAUCCUGGAAGAGCUCAGAAUGUUGAUGAUGAUCACGACACAUUUGUCGAGAGAAUUCAUGAAGAUGUAAUCGAUUGGCGAUGACAUCAAGUCAAGGGAAUGAUGAAGCAAAAGGUUAUUGGAACCAGGGGUACGACACAAACUCGAAAUCAAGCUUGUUGUUCAAGGCUAAAUGAUAUGGCAAGGAAAAUCGACGUAAGCUUAGCUCAUCAUCGAAGUGGUGCUCCAAGAAUAAGGACCAGGUAGCACACAGUUGAAAAGUUGCACGAUAUUGAUAUAGUUGAUCAGGCUAAGAAUGACUUGAAGGAUUUUUAAACUCGUAAGCAACGAAAAUUACUUAGAGUUAUUGAAUCGGAGUGCGGAAUUGAUUCACAUAUCGGUGUUCUCGAGUGAAUUAACUCAGAACCCGGGGGAAAUCUGAAAUCAGUGAGAAGCAAUACUAGAUGAAGACUCAUUGGAAGCAACACAGUUCUUUGAUAUGCUCGAGAUAUUGGAGGGUAUUACUCGAAGGAAGAUCGACAUAGGGGUUGCGGAGAGGUAUUGAUCUGCAGAAGACAAGUGUUUUAACUUGUCUGAGAAAUAGUAUUUAAAGGAGAACAUGGUCGGAACCACGACUGCAAAGGGGCAAUUCACCGAUAUCAGAUGAUAUUAUAUCAAGGAAAUAGCUAUUAUUACAAGAAGCUUCCAUGAUAGGAUCUACAUCGUGUCCAUGGGCAUGAACACAAAGUUCAAGGUCGACUCCCACUUGUUCAACGCAUAACCUUUCAUUUACCUCUCGUAUUUCGAAAAUGACAUUAGUUGUUGAAAGUUUUUACCUGAUGCAAUACCAGAUAAGUAUGACCCAUGAAAUCUUUCGGGUUCACACGGAUUAGGGAAGGCGUAGGUUCAACCCAUCAAGGCAUCUUAGGAACAUAUACCACAAACUUCGGAGUAAAUAAUACAAGCUCGAAAGUAGAGCAUGGUUCACAAAGCAGAGGAUACAAUUUACCAAAGGCAUCAUGUAUCCGAGGAAAAGCUCACAAGCUUAUUUAAUAUGAAGGACAUUGUCAGAUAAAAUCCGACAAAAGGGUCUGGUGGUCCACAAGGGAUCUGAUGUGAGCAUCAGUACUCAACCAGAGGAAGAAAGAAUGCAAGGAGAUCAGAUUAUAGAAACAACUGACUAACUCAAAGCUCAAUGCAAAGGAAUUAUAAUUUCAAAUUCAAGGGAUCAGAAGCAAACGCUCUGAUUGAGGAUGGAUAAGUCGAGUAAACUUACAGGUACAAUCGAUGGCAAAUUUGAUUGGUCAAGAUCCAGCUCAUGUUUAAAAUGACGUCUGAGCCGGAAAGAUAAUUUCGAAGGGUCGAUCGAUGAUUGUGUGCAUUCGCACACAUGUUGAAUCAAUAGGAUCAAAAUGAUAGUGUCAAAAGAUACUAGUGAAUAUUGCUAGUGAUAUGGGAGCAUCCAUAAUGUAAGCAAGUAAGAAUUUCAAGAGCAAUAGGCUACUCAGGAUUUUCGGAAGUUCAAAUAGUAUUUUGAAGACUUUUGUGAAAUACAGGAAUCAACUGUGGAUGAGCGAAUACUCGAUAAGUGUGAGCAAUUAUCCGUAGGGGUAUUUAUGUGGUAAAGAACUGCAAGGCAGUAAGCUCAAAGGAUUCUCGGAACAACAGAGAGAAUUUCGGGGAAUCUUGUAAUAACCAGAUCAACUGGGAAACAUUGUAUGAAUGGCGAGUAUACGUGGUUAUCCAUAGGAGUUUAUCGAUGGAAGGGAAUUGCAAAAGCGAUGAACACAAGUUCUCGGGUUAACAGCGGAGAGUGUCUUCAGGGUCCUCACGUGCAGCAGACGAUCAUCAGUAAUAAGGGGCUCUCCGGGUGAAAGUGAUAACGAGAUCCUAAUGUUAGAAUUAGCAAAAUUCAUUUAACCCGAAUAGGAGAGAGAUCAGAUUCCCAGAGUAAAGGUCGAGGAGUAAAAGAUCCUAAUACCACCCAAUGGCGACGUGGGCCCGUAAGCUACACAGCCAUGUUAGUAAAACAGUUUUCACUGACUAGACUCAACUUUGGCCAAGGAGUUGGAAAGGGAGAUUCCUACAGGCAGUUGGCUCUGAUACCAACUUGUGACGCCCCCGAUUUGACCAUACACUAAUCAUGCACGCAAAUGUGUACGAUCAAGAUCAGGGACUCACGGGAAGAUAUCACAACACAACUCUACAACAUAAAAUAAGUCAUACAAGCAUCAUAAUACAAGCCAGGGGCCUCGAGGGCUCGAAUACAAGUGCUCGAUCAUAGACGAGGCAGCGGAAGCAACAAUAUCUGAGUACAUACAUAAGUUAAACAAGUUUGCCUUAAGAAGGCUAGCACAAAAGUAGCAACGAUCAAAAAGGCAAGGCCUCCUGCCUGGGACCUCCUAACUACUCCUCGAAGUCGAACUCCAUGCAGAAUCAUCCUCGGGAUCUCUAGCUCCUGGACUCCAGCACCUGGUUGCGACAACCAGGUAUAGAAAGGGGAAAAGAGGGAGAAAAGCAACCGUGAGUACUCAUCCAAAGUACUCGCAAGCAAGGAGCUACACUACAUAUGCAUGGGUAUAUGCGUAAAGGUCCAUAUCAGUGGACUCAACUGCAGAAUGCCAGAAUAAGAGGGGGAUAGCUAAUCCUGUCGAAGACUACGCUUCUGGCCACCUCCAUCUUGCAGCAUGUAGAAGAGAGUAGAUUCACCAAGUAGCAUCGCAUAGCAUAAUCCUACCCGGCGAUCCCCUCCUCGUCACCCUGUUAGAGAGCGAUCACCGGGUUAUAUCUGGCACUUGGAAGGGUGUGUUUUAUUAAGUAUCCAGUUCUAGUUGUCAUAAGGUCAAGGUACAACUCCGGGUUGUCCUUUUACCGAGGGACACGGCUAUUCAAAUAGAUAAACUUCCCUGCAGGGGUGCACCACAUAACCCAACACGCUCGAUCCCAUUUGGCCGGACACACUUUUGUGGGUCAUGCCCGGCCUCGGAAGAUCAACACGUCGCGGCUCCACCUAGGCUCAACAGAGAGGUCAGCACGCCGGUCUAAAUCCUAUGCGCACAGGGGUCUGGGCCCAUCGCCCAUUGCACACCUGCACGUUGCGAGGGCGGCCGGAAGCAGACCUAGCCUAGCAGGCGUUCCAGUCCAAUCCAGCGCGCGCCGCUCCGUCGCUGACGUCAAGAAGAGCUUCGGCUGAUACCACGACGUCGAGUGCCCAUAACUGUUCCCGCGUAGCUGGUUAGUGUGUAUAGACCAAAUGGCCAGACUCAGAUCAAAUACCAAUAUCUCGUUGAGCGUGUUAAGUAUCUACGAACGCCGACCAUGGCCAGGCCCACCUCUCUCCUAGGUGGUCUCAACCUGCCCUGUCGCUCCGCCACAAAGUAACAGUCGGGGCCGUCAGGAACCCAGGCCCACCUCUACCGGGGUGGAGCCACCUGUCCUUUCAGCCCCCUCAUCAGAAUCACUUGCGGGUACUCCUCGAGCCGACCCGACUUUAGUCACCACAUGUGUCAUGUAUAUAAUGUAUAUAGUAUAUACCCGUGAUCACCUUCCGAAGUGAUCACGGCCCAGUAGUAUAGCAUGGCAGACGGACAAGAGUGUAGGGCCACUGAUGGAACGCAGCCUGAUGAAGAACUCGCGGGGCUGGUCUCCAACAUGGCCUUACAUCGAAAAAGGCAUCAUUGGCGGGGGCGAAGCCGGCGCGCCGCCCCGUCCUCCUCUUCCCCGAGCACCACGACCUCUGUCCCGGCCUCUCCCACGGCCUCGGCCCCUCCCCCUUCCCCUCGCGGCCGGCUCCACCACCACGGGCUCAGGAGGAGGAGGGACGCGCUGUCGAGCGGCGACCCUCGCCGCCACCGUCGAGGGACCGGGAUUCCCUUUCUCCAUGGCGAGUGAAAGGAAGAAGCAGAAGCAGGAGGAGAUAGAUGACAGAAGAGUGUGGGGUGCCAUCCCCCUUCCCCCCCUCUUAUAAAGGGGUGGGGUGAGGGCUCGGCCGCCCCGCUCGACCAAUCCAGCCACCAGAGGCGCAGGGAAUCGAGGCCGACCCGCUGCCCCAAUCAGCGACGACCCGAUUUCCCGCCUCCACCGCUUGCCACCCCAAGCGCAUGGAGGACACGUGGCGAACGUGCAGAAUCGAGGGGACGGGUGGAGUGACCUCUCCCCACCCCGUGAUCGUGGGGUGUGGACGCCUUGAAGACCGCGACCCGGCCCCGCGCAGUAAAUGAGCCGCGCCUCCACGCCUCCCUCUUUUUACGGGGAAGGCACGGGCCGCCUCUUUACCACGAUAUGACGCAUGCAUGCGGAAACUGCCCCACGCAUGCCGCCCAUGUAACGCGCACCCCUCCACGCCGCGCAGCGCGCGAAAAGUUUUACCGCGGUGAAAACCGCCCCGCCUGCCCGCGCACCGUUUUGGGCCUGGCCCAACAACGUGUCGCGCUUAUGUGUGGCCCAGGCCCGGGGGCUCCUGUCGGUGUACAAAAGAAGGGGCGCACCUUUGUACCCCUUUACCUGUGCACAGGCAGUCGGAGCCGUGCCCACGGUCACACCAAGCAGAACAAGGGAGGUGAACCGAGGUAAAACCGAAGCCCAAGACGACCAGAGCAACGCCAAGACCAAGGACGCAAAGAAGCAGAGGGGUGGAGCAGUUUCCCCCGGCAAGACCCUUGCCGGGGACGGCCUCAGCAGCCCCGGCAAGACCCUUGCCGGGGCAGCCGCCCAAACACCAACAGAGCGAGCCACCCUUGAGCCCACGUCCCCAACACCAUCAACCACGUUGGGCCAGGGCUCGGGAGGCACCUCUGUGGUGGCAUGCAGAUCUUUGUGAACACAAGGAAUAUUCAAGAUCAGAUGAGGAUUAGGAGACUGCGAUCCUUGGCAAGAUCCUUGCCGAGGGGAACCACAAGACCCCCGGCAAGAUCCUUGCCGGGGACGACAGCGCGCCACGGCAAGGCCCUUGCCGGGCCACCCGGCAAGGCCUUCGCCAAGGGUGCCAGCAGGGCCACUGCCAGGCCCGCACCAACCAAGUUUCCACCGCCGUUCGCAUGCAGAGCCCAACCAGCUGAGCAGGCACCUGCGUGGCAACAUGCAGCUCCCAGGCCAACUCAUCAGGCGCCUGCAUGGCGGCAUGCAGAUCUUCGUAGAGGCUCCACCACCGCGCCACCUCAGCUGCCUGCCUGCCUACAUGGCGCCGCACGCAUUACUGGCCGGGGCGCGUGUCGAAGCGAGGAGGAGCGGCGACGAACGGGACGGACCUCGCCCCCGUCCCCGAUAAAGCUAGGGGACACCUCAGCGGCGCAUUAAAUGCGUCUUGUCCUGUAAUACGAGCGAUAAGCUCGCAAUACUGUACGCCUUUCCACCUCCUGUAUGCCACUGUGGCAGCCCCUUUCGACUAUAAAAGGAGGCCCAUGGCAUACUGAAGAAGGAUUCGGCUCUUUGGGACCACGCACCCCACCAUAGCUAGUUCGAGAGCUUAAGAACUCUUUGAAAUACAUCCACUAAAGCAGGACUAGAGUUUUACGCACCCUCACGGCCCGAACCUGGGUAAACGAUCCGUGUACUGAUUACUAAUCCUGUUCUUCUCGCAACCCUGCGCCCCGGCAACCGUAGUAGGGAUUUUUGUGAUCCCAUAGAUGUCGUUCCACACCGACUUUAAGUUCUUUGACAAGAAUGUAAACGAAACCAAAGGAAAAUAAACGAUUUACAAAGUUGCACACCGGAAUUUAUGUCAGUUCAUGUACAAGUGUGUCACUUUCUCUGAUUCUCUCCGUAAAAGAGAAUAUGCACAUGUCCAUCCUUGGUCGCACUUAUCACGCCUCUCUCUCCUCCCGCUUCUUCCUCCACACUCCCAUUUCAGCGGGGAGACGAGAAAACAGAGAGGGCGCGCGCGAAAAAGACUUCGCUGGCCCUCUAGGUGUCUCCAGAUCACGCCCAAAUUCGUGGCUCGUCCAGCCGCGAAUUUGGUGGUGCCCUACUUUUAUUGGUGCAUUUUCCUAGACUUGUUCUUUCUGUGAUUCCUCUUAAUCCCUCCCGUGUUCUUGCGGCUGAUUUCUUGACGGAUUGAAGCGUCAGCGGAUUUCUCCGGCUGCGUCUCCGGAUUUCCUCGAUCUGGGGGCAAUGCGGCUGCGCAUUCGGUUCUCUGCCUCGGAAGCCCCCCAAAUCCCCCGCCAUUGGUGAUUAUUUCUGAGCUUCCUCGCCUUAAAAUCGGCGCGUUUCUCGGAGCACCUCGAGGCAUCUGAUUUCAGAAGGUCAUCGCCGCGAUUUUACGCGAACUUGGGCGGGGCAUUGUUCUGAGUUCUUUUUUUUUGUCAAAACAUUUGUGCCGCGUCACUGGAUUUCGUCGGCCACUUGCUUCAGGGAGCUCACGGAUUUGUUGUCCGUCGCCACAAACCUCCCGCCGGUAAGCCGGGGGAAUCACAUUGCGAUGGUAGAGUCGGUGUAGGCAGGAGCAGGCAAAAGAUGAGGCGCUGCAGGGGAGAAUGGCUCCCCGCGCCGUGCAUCAUCUCCGUGCUGCUCUUCCUACCAAUGGCCUGCGGACGAUUGCUCAUUGGCCCAAGCGACACGUCGCCGCCACCUGCGCUGACACCAACCUUCAUCAAGCAAGUUGACGAUUGGGUGAGUAAAUUUUCUAUGUAUUUCAUCGCACUCGGUAGUAACAUCUGUACUGAGAUGGUGUCAUUCCAUAGUUUGUGAUCAAGACCAAAGUAGUUUAGUUUUGGUCAUCUUAAGAAGUGAGAAUUAACUUAUUAAGUACUCCCUCUGUAAACAAAUAUAAGAGCGUCCGAUAUUUCUUUACAGAGGGAGUAUCAAUCCUUUUGUUAGAGAAAAAACCGGUUCAGGAAGGCAGGAAUUGCCACCAUCGAGACCAUACAAUGACAGAAUUGCAAGGAUUGCCCGGCUAUAUUUCUGAUAUGGUGUUUAGGUUGGUGCCCUCGCUCUAUCAACACAUAUGGUCCACAUGUAUGAGCUCAUGAUGCCGGCAUUCAGAAUUGUCAUGUGGUGCUCUUCGAAUUACCUGUGACAGAAUAGAUAAGAUCACUGAAUUUCUAGUGGUUCCCAGAGGCCAAAGCUGUUUAUGAUUUUACUGCAUUGAAAAUACUGACUACAGAUUAAAACCCUGCAAGCAGAAGCAGAGAUUUUGAAACAAAUUAUUAACGUUCCCUCCUGUUAGGUACACAUUACUCCUUAUUUAAUGAGUAGCAUGUGUCGGAUUAACUAUGUUAUUAUUGGUAUGAUGCAUGUAGACUUAUUUUUUCCUUAAGUAAGGAAUGUGAUGAUAAUAUGAUAUUGUUCGCAAAUAUAAGAUGUUCUAACUUUUUUCCUAAUCGGAUGUAUAUAGACAUGUUUUAGUGUGUUUGUUCACUAAUUUCAGUCUGUAUGUAGUCCAUUUUGAAAUAUCCAAAAUAUCUUAUAUUUGUAAACAGAGGGAAUAGUCUCUAACUGCUGACUCUCACUGGUACUUCAUGGUAGUUUAUAUUUUUAAUGGUCUGGUUUAUCAUAUUAUUAUUCUGAAAAGGAUGCACACCCAGUUUAUCUCAUCAGCAUCUGUUAUUGAUUAAUUUUCACGUACUGACAAGGGUGACCACUCGUUAUGAUAUCUAUAGGUGGAACACGCGUGGCUCAAAUGUGGAUUGGACAAGAAAAGCCUUCAAGAUGUUAGAAACUACUACGACUACAACCAUGUACUUGAUAUCAUCCAUAGGAUAUCUGAUAAUAAGGGAACUUCCCCUGUCAUUGGAAAAGGUGCAGGCCCACUGACACCAGAUAUCAAGCAAACUUUGCUGACCUGCUUAAGCAAACAGAAUUUUGAGGUUCCAAAAAACCUACCCGAUGGUUAUAUCGAAACACUUAUCGCCUCAAUAAGAGAAGAGCUGACUCCGGGACCUGCUCCUGCAAAUGAAGCAGUAAAACCUCCGCCAGGGAAACCAGCUGACGGUUCUUCAUCAGAAGCAACUACAAAAAAGGCAGUGCCUGCAACUAAAUCAGUGGGGAAAAAAGACAGCGAUGGCAUGCCAACUACCACUAUCGUUGGUGUGUCCCUGGUUGUUAUCGCACUUUUAGCUCUUCUCUGCGUUGGCUGCUGCAUGUUCCGUGAAAGUUCUGCGGCUUCUGCCUAUGAUAAUAAGCAACUCCUGAAUCUAUGUAAUGUCUUGUAUCAUCCAUUUUGCUCCAAGUCAACGUUUUUCUUUCUUCUACCACUGACUUUUAUGCUUUCAUUUGCAGCGGAUUCUUGCAAGUCUUCCAGUGUAAAUCUAAUAGAUGUCACUAAGCUGGGAGCAUUGCCAUUGCAGUCAGAGGCUGGCCAAAAUGGCCAUGUGAAUCAAAGUUCACAGGAAGGCCCAAACACUGAUCAAGUUGGCUAUGUGAGACUAAGUUCACAGGAAGGCCCAAACACUGAUCAAAAUAACCAUGUGAAACUAAGCUCACAGGAAGACGCAAACACUGAUCAAAUUAGCUAUGUGAAACUAAGCUCACAGGAAGACCCAACCAGUGGUCGAAAUAGUGAUGUGAAGCUAACUUCGCAGGAAGACCCAAACACUGGCCAAAAUAACCAUGUGAAGCUCACUUCACAGGAAAGUGCAAACACUGAUCCAGCAAUCUACAGCAGUUCCGCCGAGCCAAUGGCUGCUUCUGUUGAUUCUGAGCAAGGAUCAACACCAAUGCCUCAACCAAUGAUGCCACCUCCAGCACAUCCUCAAGUACUUGCGCCUCAACCAAAGGCUCCUCCUUCACCACCAGCUCCUCAAGCACUUGAGCUGCCUCCGAAUGCUUCUCCAGUUCUUUCCUCUGGACCUUCACCGCCACCAGCUCCAAAAGCCUCCCCGCCUCCGCCCUCAGGACCCUCACCACCUACUGCUCCAAAAGCUGCACCACCACCACCACCACCAUCAAAAUCUGGUGGACCUCUCCCGCCACCACCAGCGCUGCCUGGUUCUUCCAAAACGCGCCCACCACCACUUAUGAAGUCAGGCAAUAAAACAGACACAGAUGAGGAUUCUAGUGAAGCUAAAACAAAGCUUAAGCCCUUCUUUUGGGAUAAAGUAGCAACAAAUGCUAAUAAAUCAAUGGUGUGGGAUCACCUUAAAGCUGGAUCAUUCCAGUAAGUUGGUAGAGAUAGCUGAGCUAUAUAUCUAGUUAUCUACUAUUGUAAGAUCGCACCAUUUUAUAACUAAUGGUACUUCUUCACAGGUUAAGUGAGGACGCUAUUGAAACACUUUUUGGUUGUAAUGCUGACAAGAAGAGUGGUGAUGCCAAAAAAGAUAUAGCAUCAAAGGAAGCUGCCCAAGUUGUGAGGAUACUUGAUCCUAAAAAGGCACAGAACCUGGCCAUAUCAUUGAAGGCGUUGAGUGUUUCAGCAGAGGAAGUUUCUUGUGCAGUUAAGGAAGGUAAAGUGUAUUGUCACUCGUUUAUACUGUGCAAGUGCAUAGCUCUUCCUGGAUGAAAUGCGGCUUCUUCUGAUUCUUGCCAGUCUUGUAGAUACAGUUAUUUUAUUAUAUUUUUGGGCAAAGCUCCAGUUUUUUUUUAAGUUGCAGUGGUACAUCGAAUACUUAUCCAGCUUCUGGUCUAUAACUCCAUGCAAUAAUAUAUCAGCUGCGUAUAUCAUUUGUGUCUUCACAAUCAGGAGUUACGGCUAUUCUUCUGUGCUAAGGACAAUGAAUCACUUGAUUUCAUUUGUUUCUUCUAUUUUUCAAAGCAAAUAGUACACAUUUCUGCUAAACUGAUGUGAGUCUUGUCUUCUAGGUUAACUCUAAUUCUUGAACUAAUAACAAAGUCAGCAAGAUUAUGUAGCACGCAAGUGAUGUCAAAUGCUCAAAUCGGCAUUUGGUUCUAGACUUAACCACAUUUGUGUACAUCUGGCCUCCAUAUUUUGGAAUGGACGCCUCAAGCAUGGGUUCAUGUGCUUCUGACUAUUCUAUUUGGACAUUUAGAACAAAGAACAUGUUGAUUAAAUCCUAUUUCCUGAUAACAUCUUUUGCCUUAUCAAUUUCCCUCGAUAAUUUGUAGGAAAUGAACUUCCAUCCGACUUGAUACAGACCUUAAUUAGAUGGGUCCCGAGUACUGAUGAGGAGCUCAGGCUUCGACUAUAUACUGGGGAACUCUCACAGCUUGGUCCUGCAGAGCAGUUCUUAAAAGCAAUCUUCGACAUUCCUUAUAUCUAUGAGCGCCUGGACGCAUUACUUUUCAUGGCUGGUUUACCAGAGGAAACUUCAAAUGUAAAGCAAUCUUUUGCCACCUUAGAGGUAAUAGCAUUACCAUUAUGACCUAUUUGGCUUCCACACUAUAUUCAGUUCUGUUGUAUGACUUGUAUCAGUCUUGUUUGAUGCUCUGUAGUCCUUUAACCGAUGAACAUUUUUAUCAAGUAAUAAUAGAGAUUAUCGUAGUGUAGAUGUUACCACUCUUCCUGCACCUUGAUGUUUCUACCGAUCUUCUUAUCUCUGCUAUCUUGGCAUUUAAAUCCUGAUCAGAUGGCUUGUGAGGAGCUUAAAAACAGCCGUCUAUUCUUGAAGUUACUAGAAGCUGUACUUAAAACAGGGAAUCGGAUGAAUGUUGGCACGUUCAGAGGAGGAGCUCAAGCGUUCAAACUAGACACCCUGCUCAAGCUUUCCGACGUCAAAGGAACUGAUGGGAAGAUAACGCUGCUGCAUUUUGUUGUUCAAGAGAUGAUCCAUUCUGAAGGUGUCCGUUCUGCACGGGCUGCAAAGGAGCAGACGGGCAGCGUAUCCAGUGUGGACAACAAUGAUCUUAUUGAAGAGGAAUAUAAACAACUAGGUCUGCAGGCUGUGUCCAGUUUAGGAGAUGAACUUCAAAAUGUCAGGAAUGCAGCAAUCCUUGAUGCAGAUCAGUUGGCUAUGUCGGUAGCAAGUGUCGUCCACAGGCUUGGCAAAACCAAAGAAUUCUUGAACACAAGCAUGAAAAGUCUGGAUGAAGAUAGUGGGUUUCACCGCAAGCUUGUGCAUUUCGUGGAGCAGUCUCAAACUGAUGUUACUUUCUUGCUAGAGGAAGAGAAGAAAAUACGGUCCUUGGUAAAGAGCACUGUCGAUUAUUUCCAUGGGAGGACAGGGAAGGAUGAGGGCCUUCGGUUAUUUGUCGUAGUGCGGGAUUUUCUCGCAAUGCUUGACAAGGUCUGCAAUGAGGUGAAAGAAGCAUCAAAAGUAACUCCAAAGAAAACGAAGACUGAAGUUACUCUGCCUUCCCACACACCCAGGUCUUUUCAAGAUCCCCGGCGUAGUUCCCACACACCCAGGUCUUCUCAAGAUCCCCGGCAUAACCUUUUUCCGGCAAUUCAAAACCGGAGGGCAGAUAGUUCAAGCUCUAGUUCUGAGGAGGGAAGUUAACUCUAAACGAAGGUACUCUGCCUACCUUUUCCUUCCAGCGCUUGGAGGUUUGCCCUUUGAAAACAUUAGUAAGAAGAGAUGGAAAACCGGAGCUAAAGAAAAAGCAAGAGAUGGAAAUUGACGAUAAAGCGAACUCUGGCUUUGGUCACUUGUUGCAGCAACAGAAUAAAAUUGCUGAAGGAAGGCAUUCAUCUUCCAUAACGUCCUUGACAGGCAAUUGUUGCACUUUGGCUCCUAUCAAACAAGCAAAGGUGAUAUUCACGAUCAAGAUGGAGAAGUCGCAACGGAAGCCGUCGAAAGGGGCGGCGAAGAAAACUGACCCCUUAGUUAGGGCGGGCGUGCAGAACAGGGAGGGAGGAAGAAGCAGCAGGCUGGCUGACUGACUGUGACACUGCCUGCUGUUUUUUCGCUUAGGAUUUGUACCAUCACAGAAAGGAGAGGAAUAAAUAUAGUAUUCUUUUAGGGGAAUAAAUGCAGCAUUAGAAAGAAAGAGAUGCACCACACAGGCUCAUAAACAUGAUAAUACCUUUGCAAAGAGCAAAGCUGUAAAUUGUCAUCCUUUCAACUGAAACAUCCUGUGUGUUCGCGUCAUGUGAUUAUAUACUCUGGGCGACUUGGUGUGCCUUUUGCAAUGUGGCGUGAGACCUAGUACCAGAUUCGUGCUGCUGUGCUGUGGUCGAUCUGUACCUACCGUUUCUGCACCGUCUGGAUAGUCAGGGCACUCAAAACAAUGUGCAGCGCUGCUAUAUUAGGAGUGAUAAUUGUUUCGUCUCCCGUGCCAUUUCUUUACAGAAUCCUUUUUUAUCCCAGGUAUUACUAGAUCGCAAGUAUUUCCCGCCAAAUGUCUUGCUCGUGAAAAACAUCGCCACACAUAGUCCACUACUCCCCGCCAAAAUUCCAUUAUCCCUGACUCGAGCCGUAGCACACCUACGUAUUGUAAAGACGAGAGCAUCCUUAGUCUAACAGCUUCGCAGAUUAAUUUUAGUAAGGAUUUCGCAGUUAUAUCGAGUUCUCUAACCAUGAAAGAAUUGGGCAAGAAUAGACGAUGGAAAUUUUCGACCAAGAACAGAGUGGUAGAAAUUGGCAAGUAAGCAAUCCAUAGGUGCAACUUUUAUAUAACGUACUAACAACGAAUUACAAAGGAUGCAACCAUUGUCCACGGCUAGUUUAGCACCGGUACAAGCACACAGAUUCAGAAACUAAUAGCAGUACUACCAUCCUAGAAGUAAAACGCAACACCUAGGCAACAUUUAACUGAACACGCUACUACACAGAACUGGAUACAGCCGAGCACCCACGACCACCGAGGAGGAGUCGUCAUCUAG